This 254-nucleotide ribosomal RNA is filed under the name uncultured bacterium. RNAcentral describes it as "partial 16S ribosomal RNA". It matches the Rfam family "Bacterial small subunit ribosomal RNA", at positions 524 to 776 of the family's 1533-position model. The record is from RNAcentral.
UACGGGGGGGGGCAAGCGUUGUUCGGAAUUACUGGGCGUAAAGGGCUCGUAGGUGGCCAACUAAGUCAGACGUGAAAUCCCUCGGCUUAACCGGGGAACUGCGUCUGAUACUGGAUGGCUUGAGUUUGGGAGAGGGACGCGGAAUUCCAGGUGUAGCGGUGAAAUGCGUAGAUAUCUGGAGGAACACCGGUGGCGAAGGCGGCGUCCUGGACCAAUACUGACACUGAACAGCGAAAGCCAGGGGAGCAAACGGG